AACGCACAUUGCGCCCAUUGGUAUUCCUUUGGGCAUGUCUGUUUGAGCGUCGGAGCAGCUGUCCACGAACUCAAUAACUUAAACUGGUGGUUUUUGAACCUGAACGGCCAACGCCGUGUCCGGUUUUAAAGUUGUCAGCUCUGCUGGCCGCUCUGCCCAACCAGGACAUAGUAAGCACUACUUGUCCGAGGGUUAAGCUUGAGCGGUACGGCCUGAACGUAAUAAAACCUACCCAUUCUCAAAUUCAUACCUCAGAUUAGACAAGGAUACCCGCUGAACUUAA
RNAcentral lists this unclassified non-coding RNA (283 nucleotides) under uncultured Orbiliales. Its description in RNAcentral is "sequence contains 5.8S rRNA gene, ITS2, 28S rRNA gene". Lineage: Eukaryota; Fungi; Ascomycota; Orbiliomycetes; Orbiliales. The record is from RNAcentral.